Molecule: microRNA precursor, 62 nt
Filed under: Chrysemys picta bellii (western painted turtle)
Lineage: Eukaryota; Metazoa; Chordata; Testudines; Emydidae
Description: Cpi-Mir-9581_pre stem-loop
Source: RNAcentral
GGCUGGCGUACGUUGGCGUUGCUCCAUUGAAGCCAGCAGCUACGCCGACGUGAGCCAGCUGA